Molecule: ribosomal RNA, 324 nt
Filed under: uncultured bacterium
Lineage: Bacteria
Description: bacterial SSU rRNA
Rfam family: Bacterial small subunit ribosomal RNA
Source: RNAcentral
GAUGAACGCUGGCGGCGUGCCUAACACAUGCAAGUCGAACGGACAUUUUUUGGAAAGCUCUUCGGAACUGGAAUCUAAAUGUUAGUGGCGGACGGGUGAGUAACGCGUGAGCAAUCUGCCUUUCAGAGGGGGAUAACAGCCGGAAACGGCUGCUAAUACCGCAUAAUGCAUCGGAUUCGCAUGUUUUUGAUGCCAAAGAUUUUAUCGCUGGAAGAUGAGCUCGCGGCCGAUUAGGUAGUUGGUGAGAUAACAGCCCACCAAGCCGACGAUCGGUAGCCGGACUGAGAGGUUGAUCGGCCACAUUGGGACUGAGACACGGCCCAG